Long non-coding RNA from Fukomys damarensis (Damara mole-rat), 4986 nucleotides. The record is from Ensembl. Lineage: Eukaryota; Metazoa; Chordata; Mammalia; Rodentia; Bathyergidae.
ACACCACAGAUAAUACUCUCUUUCCUGCCCAAACUCCUGCCAGUGUGAGCAGAAGACACAAAAACAUCCCCACCCCGUGGAUACACGACAAGGAGAAAUCCAGGGCGCUGCUGCACGGUGGAGACCAACCCUGUGUGCCCGGAACAAAAUCUCACCCUCCAUCUCCGCCGUGCAGAACCAGCAACAAAAGUGCACAGGAGGGUGACAGUUACGGCCACAGCAACAGUCACAGCCAUCAGGCCCAGCCGGCUGACUUAUGUUUGAGCCGCUGCGUGUCCAGCUACACGGAUCGCGAGGUGACUGGAGAUUCUGUAGCCUCCUCUGCCUCCGCCAGCCUGGUCGCCAACCGGGUCGCCAACCGGAGAACCCGAUCCUGCCACCAGAUGGCGCCCGCGAGAGACCAAAGCCCGCUCUGAAUGAGAGGUGCUCCCCGCGGCUGGAUGGGAACCUUCGAUGUCCACCUGGAGGCAGAAAACUCCAAAACAGAAAAUACAAUGCAGGAGCAUCCGGCUUUGGUCACGCAACACCGCAUACGUUUUCACACGCUGCCUUGCCCUCAAAAGCAGCAGAUGGAAGCCUCGUACAGCAAAUCCCCAGUGCUCCGUCCCUUCCGUGAACCAGCAAGAAGACCUUCACUGAGGUUCACGUUACACAGCUCCAGAGAAUCCUGCGGAAGGCGCAUAGUAACCAAUAGGCACAAACUGUUAAGUGGAAAGAGAAAAGGCAACCUACUCGGAGCACGAUUUACAAAGACAGCACAGCACAGGGCCUGCUCUGGCGAAAGUGAAAAAAGCCCCAGUGCGGAGGCACCUGCUGGUGUAGACGGGAUCCAAAGCCACUCCAUUCCACGAGCACCACCGCUGGUCACGAGGAGGAACCACGGGAGUUGUUCACCCAAGCCUCAAACGAUACAAAUGGAAGCUGGGUGUGGCGGAGCACAUCUGCGAGCCUGCACUCUGGGAGGCUGAGGCAGGAGUAACACAAUUUCAAGCCCAGUGAGGGCAACUUAGUGAGAUUCGGUCUCCAAAUAAAAAGUAAGGAUACAGCUCUGUGUGAGGUGUGCGAGUUCAAUCCCCGGUACCAUCCGUCCAUCCGCCCUUCACUCGGCCACCACCCUUCAUCCGUCAUCUAGCUGUGCUGCUAUUUCUCCACCCACUAAUCCAUGCACCCUCUCCCGCCCUGCACACCCCACUGAGGACCCAGCUGGGCCUGGCAUCCUGAACCUGCCGGUGGACACCAAUUUUCUGAGAUGAAGUAGACCAGGGUGUGGUCGGCCGAGAGCUCCUGAUCCAGCGCCUGCAGGGUCUUACCUGGGGGAGGGGAAGUGGGACACAGCAUCACCUGGCAGGUGCCAGCCAACUACCACCUCACCAAGCCAUGCCACUGGCCUCCCAUCCAGACGUGUGGGUAGGGGUCAGGGCUCAGGGGUCAGGGCUCAGGGGUCAGAGGUCAGGCAACAGCGCAGCCCAGGAACAGCCCGGCACCUCUUGAGCCUGUAUGUCCCUCAGCCGAUGAAUGGAUAAAGAAAUGAUGGUGUUUACACACCAUGGAGUACUACUCUGCCCUGAAGAAGGGUGAGCAUGAGUCAUGUAUAGGAAAAGAGAGAGAGAGAGAGAGAGAGAGAGAGAGAGAGGAAUAUCAAGAGCAAGCUCACCAUGAUUACCAAAGUGGGUGGAUGGAUGGAUGGAUAGACAGACAGACAGACACACAGAAUCUUUUGUUGUAAGACAGCCUGUCCCAACUUCAGCCCCGUGGACAUCUGGGCAGAGCUGUCUCCUCGGGGCGCCGUGUGCUGCAGGAUGCCGGCCACGUGUCUCCUCCCCUCAGCAGUGUCCCAGACCUGCGACCCUGCAGUGUCCCUCCUGUGGUCGCCUGUAGACCAGAGCCAGGGGUCACAGCGGGACACAGUCUUCCCGGAGAGCGACCCCUGCUGCCGCGACUUCCCGCCUCCCAGGCGCACGGCGGCUGAGGGUGCGGGACCCAGAUCCAGGGAGGACGCGGCCACCUGAUCCCGCAUCUUCAGGGCUCUGAUCCCACACAGCCGCCGUCUGGGGCUCUAGACCCCAGAGAGCAGGAUCCCUUAGAGACGCACGGUGCACACACAGCCGUGUGAUGAGGCUUCAUCUAUAAAUCCGGCUACAAAGAGAUCCACAACGAUGGAACAAUAAGACUGCGCCUAAAUGUGUGACUAUUCGGCAUCUCUCUCUCUCUCUCUCUCUCUCUCUCUCUCUCUCUCUCUCUCUCUCUCUCAUUUUUGUUUCCCCUCUCCAAAGGGAACUGCUCACCCGUGAACGCGAUCCCUCGGGAUGUGGAAAGCGGAUUCCAGGAGGGCUGAGGCAGCCUCCCAUUCGGCACUCAGAAACCCCUGGCAGGUCCUUCGGUACACAGGUACUUUUAAGGAAUUCUAUUGUUUCUGGAAACAAAACAUUUCCCAGCCGUUCGCAUUUACACUGGAAGAGAGAGAUUCCACACGCGCGCGGGAUACCUUUUACUAAGAAAAACACUCACAUCAGGGUUUUGUUUUUUAUUAAAUAAGUUAAAAUAAGCCCACACGAGGUGAGAUUUCCGCUUCCCAACUUGCGGUCCCUGCCACCCGAGAAACACCGAGCUGGACUUUGACUCUCAACACGGAGAGGCCCCAUUCCCCCAGCGUGCACGGUCGUGAUUUCGUUAUUUUACUGCCGUCAUUGUUGGUCUCGGUUGUGCCUCUGUUAGAGCUGAAGUUUUACCACAGCUGCGCGUACGUAGCAGAAAACAGCGUACAAGGGUUCAGCGCGAUUCAGUCUUCAACACCCAGCGGGUUCUGAGACGCAUGGCCCCUUCUAUUCCACUAAGCGACGUGUACAAGGGAGAGAGAAACGCCUCACAUCACUGAUUCUUCACCGUUCUGCGGGGGUAGGCGGGGGUAGGUGGCACACCCCGCUGAGCCGCCUUAGCGCUGGCUUCUAUUCCACUAAGCGACGUGUACAAGGGAGAGAGAAACGCCUCACAUCACUGAUUCUUCACCGCUCUGCGGGGGUAGGUGGCGAAGACGCUCUCAAAAGGCACAGCACCCCCGAAGGCAAGGUCUCAUCUCCUACCGCUACCUCGUUUGCUCCCCGGGAUCGGCACGAGGACGUCAAGGAGGAAAGGCUCAGCGUGUAAAACGCACCCCAGCGCAAGGCACAGAGCUCGGUGCCACGAUGGAAAAUCCACCCUCUCCACACCAGAAUCCCAUUUUUCUCCCACACACAAAAAUCCACCGAGACGGCAAACGCCAAGGUGACAGCCCAGGCCUGGGGUCGCCCCAGGCGAACCAAGUUCCGGAGACGCGCCAGGAGAGAGACGAGACAUUCCCAACGUUGAGCUGUUGAACCCACUGGUGUUUCUAAAUGGCAAAUGGGCCCCGCUGUACUGGCAGCAAACUCAACGCGAGCUACUCACGUGCCCAAAGUCGCUCCCGCGUCGGUGGAUUCUGAGUCUGGGGAAGUCGCCGGUCCCGGCUACCCUGCUGCUUUUGUGUGUCCUCACUGGAAUGGAACAUUUGCUCGCUGCCCGGCCUGCACACCGUGCAGGACGCUAUUUUAAACCUCGCCUCCCAGGACAGCCAUCACGACUUUAGGGAAAGAAUCUUCUCACGGACUUUGGAACAGACAAUCAGCAGGCAGAGAGAAUUCAGGGCCCUUUCGUGAAAGGGAAUCACUGUGCACACGGCUGAUAGAAACUGAAAAGCAGUGGUUACACUUCUGGCGAAGAAGAGAGAGCAAACUUUCACCAAGUGCAAUGCAACGUUUUCUGCAGAAUGUCUGCUGUCCCGGUGGACCAUCCAUCGUCCGGGCUGAAUUUAUCCGGUUAGCAAUGCAUCGUGAAAAACUCAAUAUCCCACCAUUCGGGAGGCUGAGGCAGGAGGGUCUCCAGGUGUCCGAGCUGGGCUACAGAUCGAGUUCAAGUUCAGCCUGAAAUACAAAGCGAGACCCUGUCUCAACAAACAGACAAACAAACAUCUUCAAUGCCAUUCAACAGAGGCAGGGAGGUGAGCUGCAUUUUUUCGUGGAAAAGAAGUGCUGAACCGGACCUCAUCAGCUGGAAUCCAGCCGUUCCCCAGGCCCAGUCCGAUUCCUCCCACCCGCUGUCUUCGUCUGCCCCACAACAUCUUCAUAGGAAAACUGAGCCACGUGAGAGAUGACUUCCACCUCCUUCCCUCCUGGGCUCCCCGGCUCAGGCGUGCCCUGGAGCCCGAAUGACCAGGCCGCGAGUUGCCCCUCAUCAACCGGAGCACGCUGACCAGCACCGCCUUGGACUUGAGACAUCCGCCGCUGGUCCGUAGCUAUGGAAAGGCGCCGGUGACGUCGAACGUCAGGCUGGAAGGACAAAGCUGUGCGUGUCACUCGGGCACAGGGGCUGCUUCUAGUACUGGUGCUGUGGACAGAAGACCGAAGUCCCUCCUGCCGUCCGUUCGUCCUAGCCAGUCGCGGGCCCCCAGUCCGGCUCCUUCUCUCUCUGGGAAGGGGUACGGUGACAAAAGCAGCUUUCCAAGAUUUGAGAAAGCUACAGCCAAAGCUGACCAACCUGAGAUCACAUCUGGACUGCAGGGGCGUUUAAAACCAGAGUACAUUUACCCUAAAGUUUUCUGGUGAAAGAAUUUUAGAUUCGCCAAAGGAAGGGAAAAAACGGCCCCCAGACCUGCUAUCCGCCCUCCGUAUAGAUUUUUCAAUCAUCAACAUUUCUGAAGCAUUUGAGAAGGAGAUGCCGGCAGGUGCCCGUGGCGAUUUUGUGAGACAGGGUCUCACUGUGUGGUCCAGGCUGGCCUUGAGCUCACAGCGAUCCUCCUGCUUCAGCCUCCUGAGGACGGGAAUCACAGGCGAUCGCCACCACACCUGGCUCGACCGCAGUGACCGAGGACAGUAAAUUUCUAAGAUGACAUCGAACCCACCAGGACCUUUCCCGCCUCACAGACGUCCUCAGAAACAGCGCGGCCACGUGCAGGAUCUGACCACGGGUCUCACG